Molecule: ribosomal RNA, 253 nt
Filed under: uncultured bacterium
Lineage: Bacteria
Description: partial 16S ribosomal RNA
Rfam family: Bacterial small subunit ribosomal RNA
Source: RNAcentral
UACGUAGGGCGCAAGCGUUGUCCGGAAUUAUUGGGCGUAAAGAGCGUGUAGGCGGCCCGACCAGUCCGCUGUGAAAGUCCAGGGCUCAACCCUGGAAUGCCGGUGGAUACUGUCGGGCUAGAGUCCGGAAUGGGCGAGUGGAAUUCCUGGUGUAGCGGUGAAAUGCGCAGAUAUCAGGAGGAACACCAAUGGCGAAGGCAGCUCGCUGGGACGUGACUGACGCUGAGACGCGAAAGCGUGGGGAGCAAACAGG